CGUAGGGCAAGCGUUAUCCGGAAUUACUGGGUGUAAAGGGUGCGUAGGUGGUAUGGCAAGUCAGAAGUGAAAACCCAAGGGCUUAACUCUGGGACUGCUUUUGAAACUGUCAGACUGGAGUGCAGGAGAGGUAAGCGGAAUUCCUAGUGUAGCGGUGAAAUGCGUAGAUAUUAGGAGGAACAUCAGUGGCGAAGGCGGCUUACUGGACUGAAACUGACACUGAGGCACGAAAGCGUGGGGAGCAAACAGGAUU
RNAcentral lists this ribosomal RNA (253 nucleotides) under uncultured bacterium. RNAcentral describes it as "partial 16S ribosomal RNA". It matches the Rfam family "Bacterial small subunit ribosomal RNA", at positions 528 to 779 of the family's 1533-position model. The record is from RNAcentral.